AUGGAGGACAACUUGUACAUUCGCGAGAUUCUGCAAAUUAAUCCAGAUGACUACGAACCAGGCGAUCCGGCCGAAGCACCCCGCAGAAUCUACCAGAGGAGAUACAGCUCGCAGAAUAAAUUAGGAUAUGUAUCCAUUCUGAACAGAUGCGAGUCUGCCAAUGCAACACAGCUUUGCAUCUACAACAUGCCUAUACAGAAGGACCUACCGAAUCGUCAUGACAUUGGUGGCACCUACACAAACGAGACACCAGAUCUAUGGUUCUAUUACACUACCUCAAUGUGCCCAAAAGUUUUUACUAUUAAAUUUGUUUGUAUGUCACAGAAAAACAGGCAGUUUUUCAGUCGGCAUAUCAAAUUCAAAUCAAUUUACAAUGACAGACAAUAUCUGCACUUUACCCAAUAAUUUGACAUGGUACAACUUUAGGAGUGCACAAAAUGAUGAAACCCAUUAUAUCAAAACAUUUCACUUUCCAAUGGAGAACUUUAAAACAGAUGUUGAAGUUGACACCACCACAAUAGUCAUACCUUUGAACAUCCGGGUAGAGCCACCAUUCUCUUUGAACAGUGAUGUACUUAAAACAAUUAAGUUAGAGCACAAUGAGAGCAAUUGUUUUAUUCAACAAGAAAAAACAGAUUUUAUUAUUAAAUCUGAUAGCGGUAAAGAGUACCCAGUGCACAAAAUAUUGGUUGCCAGCCACAGCUCAGUUCUAAGGCAACUCAUGAAAGACAAGAUAAUGCUAUGCCUUGAUAUUAAUGAUAAUACAGUAGAACUACUCCUGCAGUACAUUUACACUGGAACAAUCAAAAAUAUUGGAGACCAGAAUGUAUUGGAUCUUUUAGAAACUGUGCACAAAUUCCAAUUAAAACCAUUGUUAAUACUAAUAGACCAUCUUAUUGAGAAGGAACUUACUGUUAACAAUGCUGUGCAAAUGGCUCUUGUUGCCAAAAAGUAUGGAUUACAUGAGUUGAAGAGCAAAGUUUAUGAUUACAUAAAAAACAAUCCAGAUGUGAUGAACUCGGAAGGAUGGAAGCAUUUAAAUGAUGUUGAACUGACAAAAUCUAUAUUCCAGUAUGUCUUAACCAAUAAGAUUUAAGUGAAGAUUAUCAAAGAAACAUCUGAACCUGCUUUAAAUUGAUAAGGCUAUACAAUAUCCUCAUUAGAUAAUGUUGGAACAUUAUCUAAUGAGGAUAUUGUAUAGUUAGAACAUAGAUAUGUUCUAUAACAUUUGUAUUUUCCAAUUACUGUUUUAUGUUUUCUUCUGUACAUCAUAAUAUAAUUUGAGUUGGAGAGAAAAAAACUGAUAAAAGUUAACCAACCAUUCUAAAGAAUUGGUUGGAAGUUCCCACACAUUUUGUGAAAAUCAGAUUUUCAGUAAACUUAGGCAAGAGGCAGUAUCAUAUGUACAGACACUUGACUGUGAAAACUUCAAAUCUUACAUCUUUUUACUUUUAUAUUGUUUUAUAAAUUUCCUGGCUGCUAAUACUUUUGUGUGAGAUAAUAAUGAGAUUAUUUCUUGGUGCUCUCCUUAGUAUUGUAAUUAUGUAAAAACUUGUUUCUAAUAUUAUAUGUUUUUUAUGAUCA
Molecule: RNA transcript, 1584 nt
Organism: Manduca sexta (tobacco hornworm)
Lineage: Eukaryota; Metazoa; Arthropoda; Insecta; Lepidoptera; Sphingidae
Exons: 3
Source: RefSeq, a predicted model, not a curated record